RNAcentral lists this long non-coding RNA (2409 nucleotides) under Mus musculus (house mouse). RNAcentral's name for it is "long non-coding RNA chr6:108221224-108223633". The record is from RNAcentral. Lineage: Eukaryota; Metazoa; Chordata; Mammalia; Rodentia; Muridae.
AAAAUGCUAUUUGUACCUCUUAGUGGCACCCCACCUAGAGGUGGGGAAGUCAAAUUGUGGACCUUGCUCAACUUUUACAAUGAAGUAGGACACAUAGAAGACAUCAAGUGUUUUACGGUGCUGGAGAUGGAGGUAUCUUAGGAAUGGAGCCUAUCUCUAAACACCGAUGUUCAUUAUAUGCAUCUUAAACGCAUAGCCUGAAGAUACUUAGACAGUCCUUCAGUGGUUUUGUGCAUGGAAGUAGUCUUAUGGUGUGGAAUUUUCUUUGUGGUGCCAUAUCAGUAUUUAAGAAGUUAUGGAAUUUUGAGCAUUUUGAAUUUUGGAUUAUCCUGGCUUAACCUGUAUUGAGGCUGGGCUGUGUUAGAAUCUGCGCUGUGUAUGAUGUGCCCCAACAUCAAAACAAUGACAAAAAUAACCCACGUGUUCACUGCAACAACUAACCCUCACACACACAGAAGACAGCACAAGAGGACACGCGGGCUAUUAUUAGGGUCAGUAUUUGUCUUGCUGUUGGAUUCAGUCAAAAGUUUAAGACACACUGUUUACAUUUUCUAUCCUUGUGGGCCCCAGAUCAGCAUUUGGCAUCACCUGGGAACUUGUUAGUAGUUGGACUCUCAGGUCCUACGUAGACCUACUGGCUCAGGGUGGCAUUCAGUAAGACCUUCAGCUGAUAUGUACCCAUAGAUGCUGGAGGUCUGGCCUGGAGGAUGCCUGCCCAGUUCUAUUAGUGGCCUUUUUUAGUUGCUGAGUUUUCAUGGCUCGUUCUUGCCCGUUGAAGCUCAUCUUUGAACAUGGCCCUGGCAGCCUUCUCUCUUUCAGGGAGAUAGAAAGACAGGCUAACUCACCAGGCAGAAUUCUGACAAAAACAACGCCAAGACCAAAAAAACCCAAACCCCCCCCCAAGAACCCUGUGUUUACAUUUGAGGAUGCUUUUAUGGCUGUGGACCUAGAGGUACAAAGAGACCACAGGCUACCUGUGGGCCAUGAAGCCACAUGGAGAAACAUGUGCAGCUGGGUUUUAAACCUACUGUUGUUAGACACUUGGGGGAACUGACAUUUUAGAAAGUUUGAAGACUUCUUUCCUCACAGAACUUCUGAACUGCUGGGUAGAAAAAUGUUCUCAUCAGAAAAAUCUGAGCAAGGAAAAACAGCCCAGGCCUCCUAGUGUCCUGGUUCAUUUGCAUUGGGGGAGGAGCUUUGUCUGGGGAAUAGUUUUAUUUUGUAAAGGCAGCUUAAAAGCAUUCCAUAUCUAUUUAUGAAUAGAAAAAGACUUAGAAACGUUCAUUUAUUUGCCUUGUCUCCUGUGUGUGUGUGUGUGUGUGUGUGUGUGUGUGUGUUAUAUUCUGCCUGCUGUGUACUUCACCAGUUUCUAUAUCUUCAAGUCGUCCUCUUCCUUAGGAUCUUGGCCAAAUUCCUCCUCCUCUGAGCUGCUUUUCCUUUUCCUGGAGGCUUCUGUCAUUUGAAAACUCUGCCUCUUGAGCUCGGUUUUCUUCGUAGGGGUUUUUUGUUGUUGUUGUUUGCUUAUCCCUCAAGAGUACUGAACAUAUUGGAAGAGCUCACAAAAUAUUUGUUGAAUGAAGUAAUCCAUACUUGAGAUCCGCUCUGUCUUUGAAGGUUGCAGGUUACCUCUAAGAAGAAACUAAUGUUUAGUCCCUCUCUGCUGAUUCAACCUUUUCCGAGUUGUCCCAUUACUUUGGAAAACCCUUUUGGUGCACAAAGAGAUGUGAAAAACAUGUAGAAAUAUAUUACGCCGCACCUUUGGGAGGAUUUUAAGCUGUUGUUCACUACAGCUCUCUAGAGGAUGCUCGGUUGGGGAAUGUCUAGCAGUAGGUAGCAGGAGAGUGGAAGUGAGAACUGGGUAGUGAAACCAACUGUUCUCAGACUGGUUGGCUCUGCUCUACCACAGGAUGGGGGCUCCUGCACCACACUCCUGUGUACUGCAUCUUGGAUAUCACCAAAAUAGGCAACAUCUGUGUGUCUUUUUCCUCUUUUGUAGACUAGGUAUAAAAAUGCAGGCUGAGGGGUGGGGUGGGGCUGGGAGACGCCUCAGUCAGUAAAGUGCUUGCUAUGGCAAGAAGGAAGACCUGAGUUCAAUCCCCUGAGCCACACAAAAAGUGAGGUAUCAUGCUUCAUGUUGGCAUUCCCAAAGCUGGGGAGUGGGAGACAGCUCCCAGGAACUCACUGGUCAGUCAGCGUGUCUUGGUCAUCGAUCCCCAGAUUAAAUGGAGAGAGCUUCUCUCAGAAACAAAACAAAACACCCAACAAACCCAACCAGAUUGAGUUUCCUGAGGAGCAGCACUCAAGGUUGACCUGUGGCCUCUGCGCAUGCGCACAUGUCCUUUCUUCCCACCUGCUAUGGAUUGUUGUGACCAACGAUCUAUGUAAGCAGGCUGGGAAAAAAAAUGAUUU